AUUAAAAAAAAAACCGAGUCUCCGUGUCCAACGUUUGACCGUCCAUCUUAUUUGAAAAAAUUAUGAAAAAAAAAGACUAAAAACACAAGUCACGCAAGUAUUAAUCAUAUUUUAUCAUCUAACAACAAUAAAAAUACUAAUUAUAAAAAAAAUUCAUGCAAGACGAACAGCCAAACAUUAGACACGAAAAUCUAGGGUUUGACUUUUU
Non-coding RNA from Oryza glaberrima (African rice), 208 nucleotides. Lineage: Eukaryota; Viridiplantae; Streptophyta; Magnoliopsida; Poales; Poaceae. The record is from Rfam.